GUUUCUCCUCUUCAACUGCUGGUUUCUCUUCAAAUGCUAGUUCAUUUUGUUCCUGUGUUGGUUCUUCAGGUGUUUCUUCAGUUAUUGGGUUUUCAGGUUUCUCUUCAAAUGCUUGUUCAUUUGGUGUUUCUUCCUGUGUUGGUUCUUCAGGUGCUUCUUCAGUUACUGGUUUUUCAGGUUUAUCUUCAACUGCUGGUUCUUCUAGUGUCUCCUCAAUCGAUGGUUCUUCAAGUUCCUCUCUUGCUACUGGUUUUUCAGAUUUCUCUUCAACUGCUGGUUGUUCAGGUUUUUUCAUAACCACUGACUCUUCAGAUCUCUCUUCAAUUGCUGGUUCUUCAGUUUUUUCCUCAACUGAUUCAUAAUCGGCAAUAGCAUUGUUGGUAAUGCAUUGAAUUGCAUUGUCUGUCUUGUUCUUUGACUUUUCAAUUGGUGAAUUCUGCAAAAAUAAAUAAAUUGAAGUUUCAUUUAGUCUUUCAAUGGAUAAAACAGAUGUAAAUUCGUUACGCAUAUAAAGCUAAUAUGAUGGAUAAACUUUGUGAAAGUGUUUAAUCCUCAC
RNAcentral lists this long non-coding RNA (556 nucleotides) under Solanum tuberosum (potato). RNAcentral's name for it is "long non-coding RNA (STUB_LNC003301)". The record is from RNAcentral. Lineage: Eukaryota; Viridiplantae; Streptophyta; Magnoliopsida; Solanales; Solanaceae.